GGAGGAUGCGAGCGUUAUCCGGAUUUACUGGGUGUAAAGGGAGCGUAGGCGGCUUAGUAAGUCAGAAGUGAAAGCCCGCAGCUCAACUGCGGGACUGCUUUUGAAACUGCCAGGCUAGAGUGUCGGAGAGGUAAGUGGAAUUCCUAGUGUAGCGGUGAAAUGCGUAGAUAUUAGGAGGAACACCAGUGGCGAAGGCGGCUUACUGGACGAUGACUGACGCUGAGGCUCGAAAGCGUGGGGAGCAA
This 245-nucleotide ribosomal RNA is filed under the name uncultured bacterium. RNAcentral describes it as "partial 16S ribosomal RNA". It matches the Rfam family "Bacterial small subunit ribosomal RNA", at positions 527 to 771 of the family's 1533-position model. The record is from RNAcentral.